This 1965-nucleotide ribosomal RNA is filed under the name human gut metagenome. RNAcentral describes it as "bacterial LSU rRNA". It matches the Rfam family "Bacterial large subunit ribosomal RNA", at positions 1 to 1990 of the family's 2925-position model. The record is from RNAcentral.
UAAAGCAAGAAAGGGCGUAUGGGGAAUGCCUAGGCACACUCCGGCGAAGAAGGACGCAGCAAACAGCGAAAUGCGACGGUGAGCGGUAAGCACGUGAAGAGCCGUCGAUAUCCGAAUGGGGGAACCCACACGGAGUCAUAUCCGUGUAUCACAUGUCGAAUACAUAGACAUGAUGAGGCGAGACGCAGGGAACUGAAACAUCUAAGUACCUGCAGGAAGAGAAAAUAAGAAUGAUUUUCUGAGUAGCGGCGAGCGAAAGGGAAAGAGCCCAAACCGAUUUUAGGAUCGGGGUAGUAGGAUCAUCGAGGAAUCUGACAGAGGAUCAUAGAGGAAUCACAUGGGAAGGUGAGCGAGAGAGGGUGAGAGCCCCGUACUCGAAAUGAGAGACUGGAGAGAGAUGACACCUGAGUAGGGCGGGACACGAGAAAUCCUGUCUGAAUCAGCCGGGACCAUCCGGCAAGGCUAAAUACGAGAGAGUGACCGAUAGUGAACCAGUACCGUGAGGGAAAGGUGAAAAGAACCCCGGGAGGGGAGUGAAAGAGAACCUGAAACCAUAUGCCUACAAGAAGUCAGAGCCCGUUAAAGGGUGAUGGCGUGCCUUUUGUAGAAUGAACCGGCGAGUUACUGUAUGGAGCGAGGUUAAGCAGGAUAUGCGGAGCCGAAGCGAAAGCGAGUCUUAAGAGGGCGCGAGUUGCAUGCAGUAGACCCGAAACCGGGUGAUCUAGCCAUGACCAGGUUGAAGUUGGGGUAAAACCCGAUGGAGGACCGAACCGACCCCCGUUGAAACGUUGGCGGAUGAGUUGUGGCUAGGGGUGAAAUUCCAAUCGAACCCGGAGAUAGCUGGUUCUCCCCGAAAUAGCUUUAGGGCUAGCGUCGAGAGAAGAGUUGCGUGAAGGUAGAGCACUGAAUAUGUGAUGGCCCCAUCUCGGGGUACUGAGCAUAAUCAAACUGCGAAUGUCACGCCAACAUGCUCGGCAGUCAGACAGCGGGUGAUAAGGUCCGUUGUCAAGAGGGAAACAGCCCAGACCAUCAGCUAAGGUCCCAAAAUGUAUGCUAAGUGGAAAAGGAUGUGGAGAUGUACAGACAACUAGGAGGUUGGCUCAGAAGCAGCCAUCCUUGAAAGAGUGCGUAACAGCUCACUAGUCGAAUGACUCUGCGCCGAUAAUUUACCGGGGCUAAGCAUACUACCGAAGCUAUGGAUCCCCAGGGAUGGCAGGGGAGCGUUCCAUGAACGGAGAAGUACGACCGAAAGGACGUGUGGAGAUCAUGGAAGAGAGAAUGCCGGUGUGAGUAGCGGAACGUGGGUGAGAAUCCCACGCACCGAAAACCCAAGGUUUCCAGAGGAAGGUUCGUCCGCUCUGGGUAAGUCGGGACCUAAGGCGAGGCCGAAAGGCGUAGUCGAUGGACAACAGGUAGAGAUUCCUGUACCCGUAUAUAUGUGAAGGAAUGACGGAGAGAGGAAGCUGCAGCCAGCGGCUGGAAGAGCUGGUGCAAGCGAGAUAUCGGGAUGGCAGGCAAAUCCACCAUCCGAAACGAGAAGGCGUGAAGCGUACGGAAAGCUACGGCGAGUACGGAAGGCAGUGGAGGAACUUCCAAGAAAAGUUUCUAACGUUAAGUAUAUAUGGCCCGUACCGAAAAUGGACACACAUGGGUGAGGAGAGAAUCCUAAGGUGAGCGAGAGAACUAUAGCUAAGGAACUCUGCAAAAUGACUCCGUAACUUAGGGAGAAGGAGUGCUCAUAGAGAUAUGAGCCGCAGUGAAACGGCCCAAGCGACUGUUUACCAAAAACACAGCUCUCUGCUAAGCCGCAAGGCGAAGUAUAGGGGGUGACGCCUGCCCGGUGCUGGAAGGUUAAGGGGAGGGGUUAACGCAAGUGAAGCCCUGAACUGAAGCCCCAGUAAACGGCGGCCGUAACUAUAACGGUCCUAAGGUAGCGAAAUUCCUUGUCAGGUAAGUUCUGACCCG